Molecule: non-coding RNA, 27 nt
Filed under: Bombyx mori (domestic silkworm)
Lineage: Eukaryota; Metazoa; Arthropoda; Insecta; Lepidoptera; Bombycidae
Source: RNAcentral
UGAUCGAGAAUUACUGUCAGUUUAUGA